RNAcentral lists this ribosomal RNA (219 nucleotides) under uncultured bacterium. RNAcentral's name for it is "partial 16S ribosomal RNA". It matches the Rfam family "Bacterial small subunit ribosomal RNA", at positions 118 to 351 of the family's 1533-position model. The record is from RNAcentral.
UGGAUCAUCUACCUUCUAGUGGGGAAUACCCCCGGGAAACUGGGGACAAUACCGCAUAAGCUCGUAAGAGGAAAGCAGCAAUGCGCUGGAAGAGGAGUCCGCGGCUGAUUAGCUAGUUGGCGGGGUAACGGCCCACCAAGGCGAAGAUCGGUAGCCGGCCUGAGAGGGCACACGGCCACACUGGCACUGAAACACGGGCCAGACUCCUACGGGAGGCAG